RNAcentral lists this long non-coding RNA (496 nucleotides) under Selaginella moellendorffii. RNAcentral describes it as "long non-coding RNA (SMOE_LNC000201)". The record is from RNAcentral. Lineage: Eukaryota; Viridiplantae; Streptophyta; Lycopodiopsida; Selaginellales; Selaginellaceae.
GACUUGACUGCGGCGCUGAUGCUAAUCCUUUUGAAGGUGAGAUCUUUGGAGGCGGCUGUUUCUCUUCCACUUUCGGCUUCUUGUCUACGUGCAGUUGCGCACUAGUUCCUGUGAAAUACGCAAAGAAAACUUAUUGCGCACUAUAUGAAGCAAGUAAUUACCUUCUGCUGGGCGCUUCGCAGGUACUUUCGAAGGCGAAUCAGCCUUUGGUUUUGACGCACGAAUUUUGUCAAAGAGGCCAUCCUCGGUAAUAAAUGGAGUUCUGCAAAGACGUCUAGCGAUGAGUAGCUCAGAAGAGAGAUGAAACACUCACCCCAAGUCAUGAGCCUUCUUGGACUUUUGACCCCCUACAUCUUCAUCCGCAAGUAAGAAACUCUGCAAUGCCUCAGCUCUAUUUCAUUAAUCUAAGACAUCCUCAAAACGCACCGUUUUCUUGCUGACCGCAGACGUCACUCGACCACCAUGUCUCUUGAUCAGAUCUUCAGCUUCUUCGCGC